RNAcentral lists this ribosomal RNA (497 nucleotides) under uncultured bacterium. RNAcentral describes it as "partial 16S ribosomal RNA". It matches the Rfam family "Bacterial small subunit ribosomal RNA", at positions 28 to 507 of the family's 1533-position model. The record is from RNAcentral.
GAUGAACGCUGGCGGCGUGCCUAAUACAUGCAAGUCGAGCGAACGGACGAGAAGCUUGCUUCUCUGAUGUUAGCGGCGGACAGGUGAGUAACACGUGGCUAACCUACCUAUAAGACUGGGAUAACUUCGGGAAACCGGAGCUAAUACCGGAUAAUAUUUUGAACCGCAUGGUUCAAAAGUGACAGACGGUCUUGCUGUCACUUAUAGAUGGAUCCGCGCUGCAUUAGCUAGUUGGUAAGGUAACGGCUUACCAAGGCAACGAUGCAUAGCCGACCUGAGAGGGUGAUCGGCCACACUGGAACUGAGACACGGUCCAGACUCCUACGGGAGGCAGCAGUAGGGAAUCUUCCGCAAUGGGCGAAAGCCUGACGGAGCAACGCCGCGUGAGUGAUGAAGGUCUUCGGAUCGUAAAACUCUGUUAUUAGGGAAGAACAUAUGUGUAAGUAACUGUGCACAUCUUGACGGUACCUAAUCAGAAAGCCACGGCUAACUACGUG